UGUUGUUUUCUUUAUGAUCAAUUUCUAAAGAAGGAAGGUCUAAAUCAGUCUUCCCAACUACCUGGACUGCUCCUUCAGAAAAAUCAAGACAAUCAGGGGAAGAAUUCUUGACAGCGAAGGGCGUCCUUCUAGCUGCUACCUCAGGGGUAUUUAGUGACAAAUAGGCCAACUUGCUCAUCAGAGAUUCAACCUUAUCGCUAAAUGGGGUUAAGCUGACUUCUUCUACCUGACUGUUUAGUUGGUCCACUUGAUUCGCACAAACAUUUUUCUUUGUAUUUGUUUUCUUGAGAGUAUUCAAAUCAUCCUUGACAUCUAUUCUGCCUUCAUCCCCUGUCAGGCACGAUGGCAUUAUUUCAGCACCCUUGAUAGUUGAGUCCUCAACUUGAUCAAUCUUGGUAUUUUUGAAGUCACCAUUUAAAC
Molecule: long non-coding RNA, 420 nt
Filed under: Nicotiana benthamiana
Lineage: Eukaryota; Viridiplantae; Streptophyta; Magnoliopsida; Solanales; Solanaceae
Description: long non-coding RNA (NBEN_LNC002195)
Source: RNAcentral